CAGCCGCCGCGGGAAAACGAAGGGGGCUAGCGUUGUUCGGAUUUACUGGGCGUAAAGGGCGCGUAGGCGGACUGAUAAGUCAGGGGUGAAAUCCCAAGGCUCAACCUUGGAACUGCCUUUGAUACUGUUUGUCUUGAGUUCGAGAGAGGUAAGUGGAACUGCGAGUGUAGAGGUGAAAUUCGUAGAUAUUCGCAAGAACACCAGUGGCGAAGGCGGCUCACUGGCCCGAUACUGACGCUGAGGCACGAAAGCGUGGGGAGCAAACAGGAUUAGAUACCCGUGUAGUCCCUGUCUCUUAUAC
This 301-nucleotide ribosomal RNA is filed under the name uncultured bacterium. RNAcentral describes it as "partial 16S ribosomal RNA". It matches the Rfam family "Bacterial small subunit ribosomal RNA", at positions 509 to 807 of the family's 1533-position model. The record is from RNAcentral.